CUGUUGUGUUUUCACUGUAGCAGAGACAGACGUGAUAUUUCAGGAUACCGAAUUCAGCGAUCCAUCUCAGGUAUAGGGAUAUUUUUGAGUGCUGUCUCAUUAAAAUCACUUACAGUCAGCACCUGAAAACAUCUGCUGGAAUCAUAUUUAGAACCUUAUUCUGGUUUCCUCGGUAACACUAAACAAUAAAUUAAAAAGUAACAGUGUUGUUUUUCUAAAGUAGACGCUGUAACAGAUUAGACAGUUGUUGAAUGGCGAACAUGAAAAAUAUGAUGGAGAUGUUUUGAAGGACAUUAAAGUCAUCUUUCAAAGGAUCCAUGUGCAAUAACCAGCCUCUGAAACACUGCCAUUACGGACACUGAUGCCAGACAAUCUACAAGGGAAGAAUAUUUGUCAACGGCUGUUAGCGUUCAAGGACAAGAAUAAACCCUAAAGUUUAUUUAAAAAACUGUAGAGGACAGAAGAGCCUUGCAAAGUUUGCAAGGGUGCCAUCCUAAAGCAUGCAGAGACCUGAUGUUAAGCCCAUCCGCUCUAAGUUUCUCCCAAAGCUAUGCACCAUAAAACGUGGACCUUUUGGUCACCUUCAUGCCAUCACCAGAACAACUGACCUCAGACUCAACCACCUUUCCGGAGACUUUCAAAACCCAGGACUAAACGCUUGUUUCAUCCAAACCGUAACGGCGACAGAAGUGGUUUGUGGGAUUAAAAGGUAUAAGUGCUCAGGCUGUCUGUGCUACUACAAUGAGCUGGAGCAGCUGAUGGCACACAUAAAGCAGGGCUGGAUAGAAGGCUACAGCUGCAAAGCGACAUGCAGGACUGCAGGGAGUUACUGACCGUAUAUGAAGAAGAAGCUGCUUCUGAAAGCAACCCUCGGCUUAGUGCCUCCUCGACUCUGAGGGAGAGCACCAAAGAUGAGAAGCUGGACAUGGUCCUCAGGUGGCUGCAGGAUGUAACAAUAUAACCACAGUGAAUGAAGGAGAUAGACUGAUUGUCUGAAGUCAUGCCAAGUUGUUGGCAAAAAUUUAAAUUAAAACAUUUAUGGCUGCAUUUGUUGCAGUAUAGAUUUUCUAUAGAGUUUUGCUGAAUGUCUUGGUUGCUUUUUCCCAUACAAUGACAGUGAAUGGGAACAAGCUUCAAAAGGAGCCAUAUAAGUAUCGUAAAAUUGGUCCAUAUGGCUUGUGCACUAUAUUUCAGAUCCUCUGAAAUCAUACAGUAGCUUUAUGUGAGGAAGAGAACAAAAUUUGUCAUUAUUUACUGAUAAACCAUAUUUUACUCUUU
Megalobrama amblycephala (Wuchang bream) is the source of this 1278-nucleotide long non-coding RNA. RefSeq lists it as uncharacterized. The transcript has 3 exons. The record is from RefSeq and is a predicted model, not a curated record. NCBI's taxonomy places the organism in Eukaryota, Metazoa, Chordata, Actinopteri, Cypriniformes, Xenocyprididae.